This 253-nucleotide ribosomal RNA is filed under the name uncultured bacterium. RNAcentral describes it as "partial 16S ribosomal RNA". It matches the Rfam family "Bacterial small subunit ribosomal RNA", at positions 524 to 776 of the family's 1533-position model. The record is from RNAcentral.
GACGGAGGGUGCAAGCGUUGUUCGGAAUUACUGGGCGUAAAGCGCACGUAGGCGGAUCAGUCAGUCAGGGGUGAAAUCCCGGGGCUCAACCCCGGAACUGCCUUUGAUACUGCUGGUCUGGAGGUCGAGAGAGGCGAGUGGAAUUCCGAGUGUAGAGGUGAAAUUCGUAGAUAUUCGGAGGAACACCAGUGGCGAAGGCGGCUCGCUGGCUCGAUACUGACGCUGAGGUGCGAAAGCGUGGGGAGCAAACAGG